UGACUAUGGUGUUUACAGAUCAGGCCA
RNAcentral lists this non-coding RNA (27 nucleotides) under Rattus norvegicus (Norway rat). The record is from RNAcentral. Lineage: Eukaryota; Metazoa; Chordata; Mammalia; Rodentia; Muridae.